GACGAAGGAUUCAAGCGUUGUCCGGAUUUACUGGGUUUAAAGGGUGCGUAGGCGGCAAUAUAAGUCAGUGGUGAAAUCCCGCAGCUCAACUGCGGAACUGCCAUUGAAACUGCAUUUCUUGAAUACGGUUGAGGUAGAUGGAAUGUAACAUGUAGCGGUGAAAUGCUUAGAUAUGUUACAGAACUCCGAUUGCGAAGGCAGUCUACUAAGCCGUUAUUGACGCUGAGGCACGAAAGCGUGGGGAGCAAACAGG
This 253-nucleotide ribosomal RNA is filed under the name uncultured bacterium. RNAcentral's name for it is "partial 16S ribosomal RNA". It matches the Rfam family "Bacterial small subunit ribosomal RNA", at positions 524 to 776 of the family's 1533-position model. The record is from RNAcentral.